UGAGAAAGUGUGGUAUGAUUGAAUUUUCUUGGUUUGAGAACGCGGGUUAUGAAAUAAAAGAUAAGACGAUAUUCCGGGAGCAUUCGAGUAAUGGUUGGGCGACGUUGCUCCGGGCUUGGAACAAAUUCUCCAACUCCAAUUUGGUGGAACAGGAUUUGCUCAUCAAAUAGGGCUUCUUCGUCCCCGGUGUAGAGUGCUAUAUCUUCGCCAUUUCGUGG
Molecule: long non-coding RNA, 218 nt
Filed under: Nicotiana benthamiana
Lineage: Eukaryota; Viridiplantae; Streptophyta; Magnoliopsida; Solanales; Solanaceae
Description: long non-coding RNA (NBEN_LNC001054)
Source: RNAcentral